This 253-nucleotide ribosomal RNA is filed under the name uncultured bacterium. RNAcentral describes it as "partial 16S ribosomal RNA". It matches the Rfam family "Bacterial small subunit ribosomal RNA", at positions 524 to 776 of the family's 1533-position model. The record is from RNAcentral.
UACGGAGGGGGCUAGCGUUGUUCGGAAUUACUGGGCGUAAAGCGCACGUAGGCGGAUCUUUAAGUCAGGGGUGAAAUCCUGGAGCUCAACUCCAGAACUGCCUUUGAUACUGGGGAUCUCGAGUCCGGAAGAGGUGAGUGGAACUCCGAGUGUAGAGGUGAAAUUCGUAGAUAUUCGGAAGAACACCAGUGGCGAAGGCGGCUCACUGGUCCGGUACUGACGCUGAGGUGCGAAAGCGUGGGGAGCAAACAGG